GUGUGUGUGUGUGUGUGUAUAUGUAUGUAUAUAUAUGUAUAUGUAUGUAUAUAUAUACAUAUAUACAUAUAUAUGUAUGUAUAUAUACAUACAUACAUAUAUAUAUAUACAUACAUACAUAUA
RNAcentral lists this microRNA precursor (123 nucleotides) under Procavia capensis (Cape rock hyrax). RNAcentral's name for it is "miRNA (ENSPCAG00000019381.1)". The record is from RNAcentral. Lineage: Eukaryota; Metazoa; Chordata; Mammalia; Hyracoidea; Procaviidae.